Molecule: ribosomal RNA, 286 nt
Filed under: uncultured bacterium
Lineage: Bacteria
Description: partial 16S rRNA
Rfam family: Bacterial small subunit ribosomal RNA
Source: RNAcentral
ACACACGUGCUACAAUGGCAUUUACAGAGGGAAGCGAGACAGUGAUGUGGAGCGGACCCCUUAAAGAAUGUCGUAGUCCGGAUUGGAGUCUGCAACUCGACUCCAUGAAGUCGGAAUCGCUAGUAAUCGCAGGUCAGAAUACUGCGGUGAAUACGUUCCCGGGCCUUGUACACACCGCCCGUCACACCAUGGGAGUGGGAUGCAAAAGAAGUAGUUAGUCUAACCUUCGGGAGGACGAUUACCACUUUGUGUUUCAUGACUGGGGUGAAGUCGUAACAAGGUAACC